Molecule: ribosomal RNA, 253 nt
Filed under: uncultured bacterium
Lineage: Bacteria
Description: partial 16S ribosomal RNA
Rfam family: Bacterial small subunit ribosomal RNA
Source: RNAcentral
UACGUAGGGUGCAAGCGUUGUCCGGAAUUAUUGGGCGUAAAGAGCUUGUAGGCGGUUUGUCGCGUCUGCUGUGAAAUUUCGGGGCUCAACCCCGAACUUGCAGUGGGUACGGGCAAGCUAGAAUUCGGUAGGGGAGACUGGAAUUCCUGGUGUAGCGGUGAAAUGCGCAGAUAUCAGGAGGAACACCGGUGGCGAAGGCGGGUCUCUGGGCCGAAAUUGACGCUGAGGAGCGAAAGCGUGGGGAGCAAACAGG